UGUAGGCUGCAACUCGCCUACAUGAAGUCGGAAUUGCUAGUAAUCGCGGAUCAGCAUGCCGCGGUGAAUACGUUCCCGGGCCUUGUACACACCGCCCGUCACACCAUGGGAGUCGGUAACACCCGAAGCCUGUAGUCUAACCGCAAGGGGGACGCAGUCGAAGGUGGGAUUGAUGACUGGGGUGAAGUCGUAACAAGGUACC
RNAcentral lists this ribosomal RNA (202 nucleotides) under uncultured bacterium. Its description in RNAcentral is "partial 16S ribosomal RNA". It matches the Rfam family "Bacterial small subunit ribosomal RNA", at positions 1299 to 1500 of the family's 1533-position model. The record is from RNAcentral.